AAGAACUAAAAAAUCAGGGUAAGCAAUAUUUGUUUAAGUAAAAUUUACUUAAUUGAAAUAGAGAGAAAUUAACAAUUUGAUUGAGUGUUUGAUGAAUAUAACUUUGGGACAUAAGUUUAAAGGAAACAAAUUAUUCUGGUACACUUAACACGACCUUAGUUGGAAUUACUAAUAUUAUUUGACUAAGUCGUAUCCACAACAGUUAAGUUAAAGUAGCUUAAAAAUAUAUGUUGGUUUUACUCGCUUAAAUUAAAUUCAGUUUUCAGUUUUAUUUGUCAUAUGCAAGUUAGCACAGGGUCAACAUUGCAAUGAAAUGUGUUUGACGAGCAGCAGUCACUCAGCAGCAUGGUACAGUUGUCAUGAUCCUGAGUCCAUGACUCAGCGGUUUUGGGUUUGGUGUAUUUAUUGUUAUUAUUUGUGGGCUGUUUGGGAUGGUUUGUGUUUUGGGAUUUUGAUACUGGGUUUCUGGGGUUGUGCUCCCUCUGUUGGUCCCUGGUGUGAGUGUUUCCCCUGUCUCGUCAGGUUAACCAGGUCCAGCUGUGUCUCCCACCUGUGUGUGAUUUCCCAGUGUCCCUCUGUGUAUUUAUUGUGUGUGUUUGCCUUUGUUCCUCGUUGCGUCGUCUGUGUUCAUCACUCAGUGUCACCCUGCCUACUCUGCAUUGCUCUGUGUUCUUCCUCUGUGUCACCCUGCGUGCUCUCCCUGCUGUCCUCCCUCCAUGCUCAGGUUUGCUGCUCUUUGGUUUAGAUUCUCCCAGUUUAGUUCAUCUUUAGUUCUGUUUUACCAUCUCCACUUUAUGUUUGGUAUUCAUAAUAAAUCUCCCUCACAUCUGAAUAAGUACUGCAUUUGAGUCCUCCCUUCCACACCUCACACGGCCGCUGCCCCGAGCCGUGACAGUACGACGCAACCACAAGAUGGACCCAGCAGCACUUAACCCGUCUAAAGAGCUACGGGAGAACCUCAUCGAUGCCACUCAAGAGCUCAUCGACCUGUGGCUGGAAAGCCAGGAUUACAAGUCCCAGCGCGCUAUAGAGAGGCGGCUACAGCGUCUGGUGACCGGUCUCCCUUGGCUUUUGGGCUCGCUAUACCCGUGGGAGCAGGAAUUUCUCCUUUUGGAUUUGGGACUUCAUCCCCCACCUGCAUUUCCUUCCGAGCAGCCAGAAGCGGUGAGUGAGCGGGAUGCUUUGGCUCCCCCAGAUUCCGGGUCUUUGUUUUCUGGGGCUAUCCAGAGCGGGAUGAGAGACAAUAUGUAUAGCUUACCCACCUUCGUGGUGACGGACCCUUCCCAAGUGGGGGUCUAUACACCGUCUGCUAAACCUAAAGACCGUAUCUCUGCCGCUCCUUCCGAGCCUGGACUUUAUUGCCACCCUCCAGCCCAGUUUUGCGGUCAGCCGCUAGCAGCACCGCCAUUAGCUCCCCCAAGAGCACCAUUUCCUGUUCAGUCAGCCACUCAGCUACCAUCACCACUAACAUCACUGCAACCCCUAUUUCUGUCCAUGACUCAGUCAGUAGUUCAGUUAAUGGCUGAGUCACGAUCUUCACUCGCCCCUCUACAGGAAGCUAUGUCCGUGCACCCUUUAAAGGACUGUUUAUCCACCACUGUUCCUGAGCAGGGAGACAAACUGUUUCACAAGGGAACUGUUCCUCAAACGCUGACAACAUUAGAGACUGUUACUCACUCCAGGGCUUCCCCAGAGGCUAGGUUACAACCCUCAGCUAACUCUGGACCCCUGGAGGCCAAGUUGCCAGCUGUGGACUGCACCCGGCUAUCACUGCCUGAGCAGGGUCAGGGCUCUGUGCAGCUACAGCCCUCCUCGUGUGUGCCAGAGGCCCACGUGCCUACUGGUUUUGUUUCACGUGUACCAGAGGCCCACGAGCCUGCUGGUUUUGUUUUGUGUGUGCCAGGGGCUUCCAUGCCCACUGGUUUUGAGCCUGUUUUCGCUGGGGGGACCGAGGAGCCCAUCCAGCCUUCGCCGUCAUCAGCAGCUUCCGCUGAGGGGUCUCAGGAACCGCUUCAGCCUGCUGCUUUCGCUGGGGGGACCGGGGAGCCCAUCCAGCUAUCGCCAUUGCCUGCAGCGCCACCAUCUCCGGCUCUCAAGCCGCCGCCUGCAGCGCCUCCGUCUUUGGCUUCCAUGCCGCCACCGCCUGCAGCGCCUCCGUCUCCGGCUCUCACGCCGCCACCGCCUGCAGCGCCGCCAUCUCCGGCUCUCAAGCCGCCGCCGCCUGCAGCGCCUUCGUCUCCGGCUUUCACGCCGCCAUCUGCAGCGCCUUCGUCUGCAGCGCAUUCACCUACGGCUUCUACGCCUCCGCCUGCAGCGCCAUCGUCUCAGGCAUCUUCACUAGCUGCAGCCUCUUCGUCUUCACCAGCAGCACCGGCGGCUCCAUCACCGCCUGCACCAGCAGCUCCAUCACCGGCUGCACCAGCAGCGCCAUCACCGGCUGCACCAGCAGCUGUAGCAGCUCCAUCACCGGCUGCACCAGCAGCUCCAUCACCGGCUGCACCGGCAGCUGCAGCAGCUCCAUCACCGGCUGCACCGGCAGCUGCAGUAGCGCCACCGUCUCCGGCCUCCACGCCGCCGCCUGCAGCCUCGUCAUCUUCGCCAGCCGCAGCCUCUUCGUCUUCGCCAGCCGCAGCCUCUUCAUCCUCGCCAGCCGCAGCCUCAUCAUCCUUGCCGGCUGCAGUUUUUGCUUCUGCCUCCGUGCCUUCGCCUGGGCCAGCUUCAGAGCCUUCAGCAUCACCUGCUUUAGCUUCAGCCUCACCUUCGUCCUCGUCUGGUCCAGCUUUCGUGUCUGCAUCCUCGUCUGGUCCAGCCUUCGUGUCUGCAUCCUCGUCUGGCCCAGCCUCCUCAUCGGCUUCAGCCUCGCCUGCAGCAGCAGCUUCGUCGUCAUCAUCAGCACCUGCCGCAGCUUCUCCUGGCCCGGCCUCUGCAUCAGCUCCAGCCUCGCCUGGCCCGGCCUCUGCAUCAGCUCCAGCCUCGCCUGGCCCGGACUCUGCAUCAGCUCCAGCCUCGCCUGGUUCGGCUUCAGCAGCAGCUUCUGCCUCGGCCUCCGUAUCAGUUCCAGCCCCGCCUGGUUCGGCUUCAGCAGCAGCUUCUGCCUCAUCCUUCUCCUCGUCCUUGCCUGGUUCUGCUGGCACGCCGCCAUCCGGUCCACGUCCGGCACCUCAUUUUCACUGGCCGUUUUCUAGGCCGCUGGAUGGUCGUCAUCGCCGAUGUGGACGUCCUCCUGAACGAGGUUGUCGCCGCCACCGCCUUCCACGUGGCCGGCCUCCGGACUUCUGCGGCCGCCACCGCCUUCCGCGUGGCCGGCCUCCGGACUUCUGCGGCCGCCACCGCCUUCCGCGUGGCCGGCCUCCGGACUUCUGCGGCCACCACUGCCUUCUUCGUGGCCAGCCUCCUGAACUGUCCCAUACUGGCCUUCUGUGCUGUUGGGCCCCAGGUCGGCAACCUGAACUAUGUUUCAGACUCUGCUCCCCCGUGUGUUUGUGACCAUUUUGUUUGGGACUCUUGGGCCUCCAUUUUGGUCCUGGUCUGGUCCCUCCGUCCUGGACCCCCUACCGUCCACCCGGGUCUGGUGGUGUGUUUCUGUGGCUGUCGGGAGCCAGCCCUUGAGGGGGGGGUACUGUCAUGAUCCUGAGUCCAUGACUCAGCGGUUUUGGGUUUGGUGUAUUUAUUGUUAUUAUUUGUGGGCUGUUUGGGAUGGUUUGUGUUUUGGGAUUUUGAUACUGGGUUUCUGGGGUUGUGCUCCCUCUGUUGGUCCCUGGUGUGAGUGUUUCCCCUGUCUCGUCAGGUUAACCAGGUCCAGCUGUGUCUCCCACCUGUGUGUGAUUUCCCAGUGUCCCUCUGUGUAUUUAUUGUGUGUGUUUGCCUUUGUUCCUCGUUGCGAUGUCUGUGUUCAUCACUCAGUGUCACCCUGCCUACUCUGCAUUGCUCUGUGUUCUUCCUCUGUGUCACCCUGCGUGCUCUCCCUGCUGUCCUCCCUCCAUGCUCAGGUUUGCUGCUCUUUGGUUUAGAUUCUCCCAGUUUAGUUCAUCUUUAGUUCUGUUUUACCAUCUCCACUUUAUGUUUGGUAUUCAUAAUAAAUCUCCCUCACAUCUGAAUAAGUACUGCAUUUGAGUCCUCCCUUCCACACCUCACACGGCCGCUGCCCCGAGCCGUGACAACAGUAGAAGAAAAUAUAAUAAAAUAAAAUAAUAAAAAAUAAAUAGAAAAAUAGUAAAGAGCAAAAUAUUAGAGAGACGUGGUAAAAGAGAAAAGAUGACUAAAUAUAUAUGUAUCUAUAAAUAUAAAUAUAUGUACACUAGUGAUUAAAUAAGAAAAUCUUGAAAAGAAAUAUGACGGGGGGUCAGAUGAGAUAUUGCACAGGAAUGAGCAGCAGAAAAUUACAGUAUUGCACUUAAGUACAAAUUCUGUGUACUUAAAAAAUAUUUCUGGAUUCAAACAAAUUUAUUUCGUGCAACCACUUGUCAGGCUAGUUAGUAUCCAUUUACAAAAACAGGACAGUGGUAACAACAGAAACUACAGACAAUUUUAAGUUUUAGAUUUUAAACAGGCUGUAUACAUUUCAAAGGGAGCAACAGGACGGUCAAAUGUCACUGAUUUUACUACAGAGCAGGACGGAUUGUAGGGUAGCAAACAUCGUCGGAAAACAAGUUUUCAACACUGCAGGUUACCUGGUGUAAUGUUUUUCAGCUAAAAAGAAACAUGGUCUGACUCCUACCUAACUAUAUAAAGAGUAACUGCAGGUUAAAUGUAGCUAAUAUGUCCUGUUUUCAGCCAGUCACUUACACCUCUGCUCCGCUGCGUCUCAGAGUAGCUGGAACAAACCAUUUUGGGAGGGGGGGGGCGUUAUCUAUACUUUCGUUGUUGAAAUGUUACGUCUCAACCAAGUACUGUAUGCUUUUUAUAUUUUUAGUAGUGUGUCACAAAAACAGCAAAUAUUGUCAAAAAAGUAACAAAUCUUUGGGGGUGCUUUGAUUCAUUUUGGGGGUGCUGAAGCACCCUCAAAAAUGGGCUAAAAUCGCCCCUGCAUGAGAGAAUUACAAUAAAAAAGCGAAACGGCUAGACAAAUCUACGGACAAGAGUAGAGAACACAUCAAAACACUAAAAAUAAAGAAAGAAAUGUAAGGAAACUUGGACUACAGAGGGAAGGAAGCAGGAAGAAAAUGAAAAAUACAUCUACUAAAUAGCAAGAAACAUAUUAACCCAGUGCAAAAGAAAGUUAUUAGGAUAAAAAAAAUAAAAUGAAAAACAGGAAACACGAGUGAAUUACAUGAGAAAAGGGAAACAACCACAGAAAACAACAAACAAGAUUAGACAACACAAGAAAAACACACAAAUAAAGUAAGAAAUGUAAGGAAACUUGGACUACAGAGGGAGGAAACAGGAAAAAAAUGAAACAUAAAUCUAUUAAAUAGCAAGAAACAUAUUAAAGCAGUGAAAAAACCUUAUUAAGAUAGAAAAUAACAUGACAAACGAGGAAAUUAUAUGACACAAAAAGCAAACAACUAGACAAAACUACAAAGAAAGCAAAGGGUAUUUACACAUACUGUAAACAGGCUUUAGUUGAUAUAUAUCUGAGGCC
Molecule: long non-coding RNA, 5581 nt
Filed under: Oreochromis niloticus (Nile tilapia)
Lineage: Eukaryota; Metazoa; Chordata; Actinopteri; Cichliformes; Cichlidae
Description: lncRNA (ENSONIG00000039821.1)
Source: RNAcentral